UGAUUAUUGUUCAUCUCGUCCAUUUUCAUGCUGUAUUUCAAAUGACAGAUAGAGGUAACCUACAUCUUAAUACAGCCCUGAUGACACGUCAUACGUGCAUACGUCACGUGUCAUGUAUAGGAGAAUCGCGCGCUUAUAGUGCAACAAUUAUUUAAUCAGGCGUUGGAAAAUGACGAAAAAAAAAUCAUAAACUCGAAGGACGUCCGCGCAAGAGAGAAAGAGGGAGAAACAUCGUAUAUCCGUCGAUUUGGCGGGGCAGAAUAAAGUCGCGGCCUUGGGAUAGCGCAUUCGGAUAUGCAAAUGUGCGUUGCGCCUGCGUAUAUGUGUUCGCAAGGACAUCGGACGCACCCCCGACUCAAUUUUGCGAAAGUUUAGAAGUUAACUUUCUCAUCUAUACGCACGCGGAGAGACGAUUUGCAUCUGAUUAUUCCUCGAUGGGAAAUUCGAUCCGACGUCAUUCCUCAUUUUACGUCCUUUUAACGAUCGGCGUUAAGUAUCCCGAUAAAAUGAAGAUGAGAGCUGAUGAUGACGAUGAUGGAAGUUGACUUUAUCGAAAUCAAAAAUCCAAGAAUGAUUAAAAACCGGUUGAUCAGAGUCGAGAAUGACAGAGAGGACAAGAAAGAAGAAGGAAGAGGAGAGAUACUCGGAUCGUUCUUCCUCGUACUUGGCGGAUGCUGAUGAAGGUGUGACGCAAUCGAGAAAAAAUUCCACCUUUAUAUACAUUAGCCAAUCGCGAAAGAUAUGGAAAACCGUGAGAUUUCUUUCAUUAACGAGCUCCAUCAUUAGCGAAUGCAUUCUUUCCCCGAUACGAAUAAUAAUCCUAAGCCGAUUAUCACAAUUCCGUUUCGAAAGGAAUCUCCCUCUUCUCCUUCAGCUACAGAAUUAACGACCGGUUGUUAUCAGCCGUGUUAUCAGGCCUAUUAAGUAUCGCCGUCAGGCGAUAUUUAAUUGAACGGAAAAUUAAGUAAGUUAAUUAAGUCUGUCUAAUAUAAUAGUACAGAAAAUUAAUAUAAUAGAUUGGUGCGUUUGUUUGUUUAUUGAGAGAUCGCACGCAUAAAACGCGCUCUUGUGUUCGUGAAAAUUCAAAGGGGAGACAAUGCAUUUGUUUACUUCAGUUUAAAGCAGAUAAAGAUCGAUUGAUCGAAUCGAAUUAUAUAUUACUCCGACCACGCGCGUUCCAGAUUCAAGCGUGUUUCUCAUUAUUCAGUUCGAUGCACCAGUACACAUUAUAAGCUGUCGGAUAUCAAUUUACAAUAGCAUAAGUAAUUGAAACAGCGAGAUAAUUAAUACUACGAGAUAUUCAAUAUAUGGAAUAAUAAUCAUCCAUUAAUUAUCUCGCUAUUUUAUCUUCCGAAAAAAUAUGUAUAUUAAUUUGCAAUAAUAUAAGUAAAUUAAACCGCAAGAUAAUUAAUACUA
This is a non-coding RNA of Nylanderia fulva, 1416 nucleotides long. NCBI's taxonomy places the organism in Eukaryota, Metazoa, Arthropoda, Insecta, Hymenoptera, Formicidae. The record is from RefSeq and is a predicted model, not a curated record.